UUGAAUUGAAGAGUUUGAUCAUGGCUCAGAUUGAACGCUGGCGGCAGGCUUAACACAUGCAAGUCGAACGGUAGCAGGAAGAAAGCUUGCUUUCUUUGCUGACGAGUGGCGGACGGGUGAGUAAUGCUUGGGAAUCUGGCUUAUGGAGGGGGAUAACUGUGGGAAACUGCAGCUAAUACCGCGUAUUCUCUGAGGAGGAAAGGGUGGGACCUUAGGGCCACCUGCCAUAAGAUGAGCCCAAGUGGGAUUAGGUAGUUGGUGGGG
RNAcentral lists this ribosomal RNA (264 nucleotides) under Pasteurella multocida. RNAcentral describes it as "partial 16S ribosomal RNA". It matches the Rfam family "Bacterial small subunit ribosomal RNA", at positions 1 to 257 of the family's 1533-position model. Lineage: Bacteria; Pseudomonadati; Pseudomonadota; Gammaproteobacteria; Pasteurellales; Pasteurellaceae. The record is from RNAcentral.